Molecule: transfer RNA, 75 nt
Filed under: Roseovarius tolerans
Lineage: Bacteria; Pseudomonadati; Pseudomonadota; Alphaproteobacteria; Rhodobacterales; Roseobacteraceae
Also listed under: 27 other names
Description: tRNA-Gly
Rfam family: tRNA
About the family: Transfer RNA (tRNA) molecules are approximately 80 nucleotides in length.
Source: RNAcentral
GCGGGCGUAGCUCAGGGGUAGAGCAUUACCUUGCCAAGGUAAGGGUCGAGAGUUCGAAUCUCUUCGCCCGCUCCA